AUUAAAUUAAGUUAUACAGACUGUGUGUUUUCAAAACACUUAGAGGUUUAUGCCAUUUAAUG
Molecule: transfer RNA, 62 nt
Filed under: Cephalochlamys namaquensis
Lineage: Eukaryota; Metazoa; Platyhelminthes; Cestoda; Pseudophyllidea; Cephalochlamydidae
Description: tRNA-Trp
Source: RNAcentral